GAAACUCUGCAGCUUUCGUGAUCGGGUAGCACACAGGCCGAGCCAACACUUCACAAAGGGGAGCUUGGUGAAGCGACGUGGAUGUGCAAGCCUGGCAACAGGUACGACAGAAGCGUCCAGCCGGCACCCACCUGCUUACGCAGGUUCGGACCUACUUCCCACACGAGGCUGCGGAGUUUGC
Molecule: non-coding RNA, 181 nt
Filed under: Caldilineaceae bacterium
Lineage: Bacteria; Bacillati; Chloroflexota; Caldilineae; Caldilineales; Caldilineaceae
Description: 6S RNA
Rfam family: 6S / SsrS RNA
About the family: E. coli 6S RNA was the first non coding RNA to be sequenced, but its function was unknown until recently. It consists of 184 nucleotides that fold into an extended hairpin structure with a large single-stranded internal bulge. The 6S RNA specifically associates with RNA polymerase holoenzyme containing the sigma70 specificity factor.
Source: RNAcentral